Long non-coding RNA from Hippocampus comes (tiger tail seahorse), 541 nucleotides. RefSeq lists it as uncharacterized. The record is from RefSeq and is a predicted model, not a curated record. NCBI's taxonomy places the organism in Eukaryota, Metazoa, Chordata, Actinopteri, Syngnathiformes, Syngnathidae. The transcript has 2 exons.
GAAUUUUGGCAGAGAAGCGUUGUUCAUGCGCGCAUAUACGGCAUGACAUCGAUACGUUAUGUUCGUACAAAAGUUACGUUGGUGUCGUAAGAACAACCUCGGAAUACCUCGUCGCGUCGUGACGACGCGGCUUUGCGCCGUUCGCCGUUUUGGUUUGCUGCGGUUAUAAAUACUCGUUUUUUUUUCCUUCUUUAGUGACUUUGUAGAUGACGCAAUGCCCCCAAAGGGCAAGGCGGAAUCUUCCGGUGGUCACACUUCAAAGAAAAUCAAAGCCAUCACCUUGGAUUUGAAGCUAAACACGGUGCAGCCAUCGAAACGCAGACGAAUAUCGGCCGCGUGCCAAAACCGCCAAGUAAAGUGACUUUCCUGUUGACGUAAUGCCUCCUAAGGUCAAGGUGGAGCCUUCCGGCGGCCACACUUCAAAGAAAAGGAAAGCCAUCACCAUGGAUGUCAAGUUAGAUGUCGUGAAGCGAUCAAAACGGGGAGAAACGCCGACGAACAUCGGCCGCGCGCUCCACUUAAGUCGCUCUACUGUCGUGAC